RNAcentral lists this long non-coding RNA (760 nucleotides) under Ananas comosus (pineapple). RNAcentral describes it as "long non-coding RNA (ACOM_LNC010938)". The record is from RNAcentral. Lineage: Eukaryota; Viridiplantae; Streptophyta; Magnoliopsida; Poales; Bromeliaceae.
UUUAUCCCUUUUAUUUACCUUUUAGUCUUCCACCCUCUUUCUUAAAUUCGCAAAUUCGAACCUUUGUUGUGUUUCAUAUUUGGAGUCAAUUAAUUGAUUAAAAGUGAUAUAUAUAUAUAUAUAUAUAUAUAUAUAGUCUUACGUAUUAUUAUGAGUCUUUCUUUAGUCAUAUUAACUGCAAUAUGAUAUUUUUUUGAUUAUUGUGUUAUAAAAAUAAUUUUAAUCAUCCAUUUGUAUGAUAUGCGACCUCUUUUGAAUAAGAUUGAAUAAUUUUGUUGGAACGAUUUCCUCUUUUGAAUAAGAUUUAAUAAUUUUGUUGGAACGAUUGAUUCUUUUUCAUUAUAGCUUUUUGUUAAAAAAAGUGUUUGUCUAUAAUAUAGACUAUAUUUAUUAUUUUUUAUACUAAGCUGAUAUUUUAUUUUUUACAAAUUUUUAUUUUAAUAAUAUCUACCCGCCGUAAUACGCGGGUCACUACACUAGUAUAUAUUAAUUUCUCAUCUCUGUUGAAAGCAGUGGGUCCAUAUUAUAUAAGUUUUAAGCGAAAAAUAUACAUAAUUUAUCUAAAUUAUAAAUUAUUUUAAUUUAGCUAUUUAAUAUUUUAAAAUUUUAAGUUUACUAUGCAAUCUUUCAAUUUAUUUGAUUCGAGUUUCAAUAAAUUUUGACAUUACAAUUUAAAUGUAUUGUUUAUUUUUACAAAUUAGUUAAUAUACUUCUUGCAAUUCUCAUAGCUAUGAAUUUAUUAAUAUAAUUAAUUAACUUA